Molecule: ribosomal RNA, 547 nt
Filed under: uncultured archaeon
Lineage: Archaea
Description: bacterial SSU rRNA
Rfam family: Archaeal small subunit ribosomal RNA
Source: RNAcentral
CGGGGUGCAGCAGGCGCGAAACCUUCGCAAUGCGCGAAAGCGCGACGAGGUUAUUCCGAGUGAUUCCCGCUGAGGGAAUCUUUUCCCAGGUCUAAAUAGCCUGGGGAAUAAGGGGAGGGCAAGUCUGGUGUCAGCCGCCGCGGUAAUACCAGCUCCUCGAGUGGUCAGGGUGUUUAUUGGGCCUAAAGCAUCCGUAGCCGGCUCAGUAGGUCUUCUGUUAAAUCCAACGGCUUAACCGUUGGCCUGCAGGAGAUACCGCUGGGCUAGGAGGCGGGAGAGGCGGACGGUACUCCGAGGGUAGGGGUAAAAUCCUUUGAUCCCCGGAAGACCACCAGUGGCGAAGGCGGUCCGCCAGAACGCGCUCGACGGUGAGGGAUGAAAGCUGGGGGAGCGAACCGGAUUAGAUACCCGGGUAGUCCCAGCUGUAAACGAUGCGAGCUAGGUGACACGACGCCUUAGGGGCAUCGUGGUGCCGCAGGGAAGCCGUUAAGCUCGCCGCCUGGGGAGUACGGUCGCAAGACUGAAAAAGGAAUUGGCGGGGGAGCAC